UAAAGCGUGCGCAGGCGGUUAUGCAAGACAGAGGUGAAAUCCCCGGGCUCAACCUGGGAACUGCCUUUGUGACUGCAUAGCUAGAGUACGGUAGAGGGGGAUGGAAUUCCGCGUGUAGCAGUGAAAUGCGUAGAUAUGCGGAGGAACACCGAUGGCGAAGGCAAUCCCCUGGACCUGUACUGACGCUCAUGCACGAAAGCGUGGGGAGCAAACAGGAUUAGAUACCCUGU
This 230-nucleotide ribosomal RNA is filed under the name uncultured bacterium. RNAcentral describes it as "partial 16S ribosomal RNA". It matches the Rfam family "Bacterial small subunit ribosomal RNA", at positions 561 to 790 of the family's 1533-position model. The record is from RNAcentral.